Molecule: long non-coding RNA, 177 nt
Organism: Alosa alosa (allis shad)
Lineage: Eukaryota; Metazoa; Chordata; Actinopteri; Clupeiformes; Clupeidae
Exons: 3
Source: RefSeq, a predicted model, not a curated record
GACCCACCUGGACAUCAGAGAGCAAAAAAGUACAGAGUGGGGGUCCAGAUGUCUUCUGAUUACGAGCCAACACAAGAGAUUAUGUUGGACCUUGAAGCAGUUGGGGAGGACUACCACAGCUUUCAAGAGCAUAUAAACGGCAUAAACAAUUAGUUGUGCCGUCGUCAGCCAGAUAUU